GAGCUAAUACAUGCGAACAGUCUCGACUCACGAAGGGAUGUAUUUAUUAGACUAAAAACCAAUGCGGGUUUCGGCCCGUUUCUUGGUGAUUCAUGAUAACUUUUCGAAUCGCAUGGCCUUGCGCCGGCGAUGUUUCAUUCAAAUUUCUGCCCUAUCAACUGUCGAUGGUAAGGUAGUGGCUUACCAUGGUUGUAACGGGUGACGGAGAAUUAGGGUUCGAUUCCGGAGAGGGAGCCUGAGAAACGGCUACCACAUCUAAGGAAGGCAGCAGGCACGAAAAUUACCCAAUCCCAACUCGGGGAGGUAGUGACAAGAAAUAACGGUACGGGGUCUUUAUAGGUCUCGCAAUUGGAAUGAGUACAAUUUAAAUCCUUUAACGAGGAUCAAUUGGAGGGCAAGUCUGGUGCCAGCAGCCGCGGUAAUUCCAGCUCCAAUAGCGUAUAUUAAAGUUGUUGCAGUUAAAAAGCUCGUAGUUGGAUUUCGGGACGGGCCAGUCGGUCCACCGCAAGGUGUGUCACUGACUGGUCUGUUCUUCUUCGCAAAGACUGCAUGUGCACUUCACUGUGUGUGUGUAGGAUUUACGGCGUUUACUUUGAAAAAAUUAGAGUGUUCAAAGCAGGCUAUCGCUUGAAUACAUGAGCAUGGAAUAAUGGAAUAGGACUUUGGUCCUAUUUUGUUGGUUUCUAGGACCGAAGUAAUGAUUAAGAGGGACAAUUGGGGGCAUCCGUAUUUCGUUGUCAGAGGUGAAAUUCUUGGAUUUACGAAAGACAAACUACA
RNAcentral lists this ribosomal RNA (777 nucleotides) under uncultured marine eukaryote. RNAcentral describes it as "SSU rRNA". It matches the Rfam family "Eukaryotic small subunit ribosomal RNA", at positions 161 to 944 of the family's 1831-position model. The record is from RNAcentral.